RNAcentral lists this ribosomal RNA (837 nucleotides) under uncultured bacterium. RNAcentral describes it as "bacterial LSU rRNA". It matches the Rfam family "Bacterial large subunit ribosomal RNA", at positions 130 to 1021 of the family's 2925-position model. The record is from RNAcentral.
AUAAUGAGCAUAACCAGGUACUUUUAACCUGAAUACAUAGGGUUUUAAGAGCAAACCCGGGGAACUGAAACAUCUAAGUACCCGGAGGAAAGGACAUCAAUUAGAGACUCCGUCAGUAGCGGCGAGCGAACGCGGACCAGCCGAGCCAUGAUUGUGAUUAGAACACGUUGGAAUACGUGGCCAAAGUGGGUGACAGCCCCGUAUAAGAAGCAUGAGUGGACGUAUUAAGUAGGGCGGGACACGUGAAAUCCUGUCUGAAGAUCGGAGGACCACCUCCGAAGGCUAAGUACUCCUUACUGACCGAUAGCGAACCAGUACCGUGAGGGAAAGGUGAAAAGCACCCCGACGAGGGGAGUGAAACAGUACCUGAAACCGAACGCCUACAAUCAGUCGGAGCACCCAUGCGGUGUGACGGCGUACCUUUUGUAUAAUGGGUCAUCGACUUGGUCUAUCUAGCAAGCUUAAGCCGUUAGGUGUAGGCGCAGCGAAAGCGAGUCUUAAUAGGGCGCAUGAGUUAGAUGGAUCAGACCCGAAACCGAGUGAUCUAGGCAUGACCAGGAUGAAGGUAAGGUAACACUUACUGGAGGUCCGAACCCACACCUGUUGAAAAAGGUCGGGAUGAGUUGUGCCUAGGGGUGAAAGGCCAAUCAAACUCGGAGAUAGCUGGUUCUCCGCGAAAUCUAUUUAGGUAGAGCGUCAUCCGAAUACCCCGGGGGGUAGAGCACUGGAUGGGUAAUGGGGCCCCACAGGCUUACUGAUCCUAACCAAACUCCGAAUACCCGGGAGUACUAGAUGGCAGACACACGGCGGAUGCUAACGUCCGUCGUGGAGAGGGAA